Molecule: small RNA, 63 nt
Filed under: Arabidopsis thaliana (thale cress)
Lineage: Eukaryota; Viridiplantae; Streptophyta; Magnoliopsida; Brassicales; Brassicaceae
Description: ATSL078070
Source: RNAcentral
AAAAGCCCCCAAAGUCCUCCUUAUUAACGAUUUUGCCAUCUCUUCUUCUUCAUCAUCACCACC